AGUGAACGCUGGCGGUAGGCCUAACACAUGCAAGUCGAACGGCAGCACAGUAAGAGCUUGCUCUUACGGGUGGCGAGUGGCGGACGGGUGAGGAAUACAUCGGAAUCUACUUUUUCGUGGGGGAUAACGUAGGGAAACAUACGCUAAUACCGCAUACGACCUACGGGUGAAAGCAGGGGAUCUUCGGACCUUGCGCGAUUGAAUGAGCCGAUGUCGGAUUAGCUAGUUGGCGGGGUAAAGGCCCACCAAGGCGACGAUCCGUAGCUGGUCUGAGAGGAUGAUCAGCCACACUGGAACUGAGACACGGUCCAGACUCCUACGGGAGGCAGCAGUGGGGAAUAUUGGACAAUGGGCGCAAGCCUGAUCCAGCCAUACCGCGUGGGUGAAGAAGGCCUUCGGGUUGUAAAGCCCUUUUGUUGGGAAAGAAAAGAAGCAGGUUAAUACCUCGCUGUUCUGACGGUACCCAAAGAAUAAGCACCGGCUAACUUCGUG
Molecule: ribosomal RNA, 492 nt
Filed under: uncultured bacterium
Lineage: Bacteria
Description: partial 16S ribosomal RNA
Rfam family: Bacterial small subunit ribosomal RNA
Source: RNAcentral